AUUGAUAGAUUUUUAAGCUAGAAAUGAAAAAGGAUUGAAUUGUAGAAUAAAUUAUAAAUUUUGAAUAUUAGGGAUUAAAAUGUGAAAAUUUCAAAAUUUAAGGAUUUAAGUGAAAUUAGAUAGUUAAAUCUAGUUUAAAGUGGAAAUUGAAUAAAAAUAUAGAAUUAAUUAUGAAGAAAUAAAGUUAGUCUCAAUUUAGGGACUAAAUUGGAAUUUAGGCAAAUGUUGAAUAAAAAUUGAAAUAUUCAAUGUGAAAUUGAAUUGUAAUAUAUUGAUGAAUUUUAAUUGUUUUAGUUCCGUAGCUAACGUUGUACCGGAACCCUCAACUAAGAAGGGGAAAAAUAAAGUCAAUGAGGAAUAGCUCGAAAAUUCUGAUUUGUAUUUCUAUAAUUCGAAUUUAAUUAUUAAUUUUUGUAUUUUGAUUAAAUGUUUAUGGUAAGUGAUUGAGGUGAGCAUUUAGCAUUUUGAUAUUUAAUUGAAAUUAUAUGAAUAUGUGAAUAAUGUGAAAUUUGAAUAUUGGAUAUUGUUGCAUUUGAAUUGUGAAUUGAACUCUAUUAACUGUAUCGAGCUGAGUCGAAUAUAGAUGGCAUGCCAUAGGAUUGGAAGAGUUUAAGGAUUACUUUGACUUCGAGUCGAUGAGACACUGGGUGUCAAUUUAUUACUUCGGAUUAAUUCGAUGAGGCAUUGGGUGCCAAUUUAUUUCGGUUUAGCCGAUGAGACACUGUGUGUCAACUUAUUACUGCGAAUUAUCUGAUGAGGUACUAGGUACCAAAUUGGUGUGUUUUGGUUAGAUCCGUGUAUCCGUCCGAGUCCAAGUUGUAUUAAUAGGGAUAAUUAAACGAAGUGAUAUUAUGAAUGAUAUUGGAUAAUACUGAAUGUGAAAUGGAAAUGAGACAUAUAAAUUGUAUAUCAUAUCGUGAAAAGCUAUUUGAGAUAACAAAUGAUGAGAAUUGAAUAUGUUAUGAUUAAUUUGUUUAUGAAAUGAUUAAUUGAAUGGUUAUUGUUAUUGUAUGAUUAAAUGUGCAUAUUAUGUUAUUUUACUUUUAAAUAUUCGAAUUAUAGAAAUACCACUGAGUUUAUACUCAGCGUACGGUUUUAUUUUCCGUGCGCAGAUUAGGUAUUUAAGGUUUGACUGCCGAUUCAGCAUCCAACAAUGGUCCCGAACUCAAACGUGGUGAUGUUAUUCCUUUUUGUGUCGACAUGUACCUAGGGCAUUUAAUUGUUAACUAUUUUGUGGAUAGACUGUAAAUAAGAUUAUAAGUUAAUAUUGGUUAGUUAUAUAUAUGAGCAUGUGUUAUAUUAAGGCUAUAAUAUGGCAUGUUUUAAAUUAUUGCAUAAAUGAACAUGAUAUAGGCAAAAUUAGGUUGAAUUUGGUAUCUUUACAAAUUCAAUUUGAAUGAUGUUUAAAUUAAUAUGUUUUGAUAAUAUGAUUCUGGUACCUAUGAGGGUACAUUGGUUAGACAUCUAGGUUGAUUAUUUUGACAUGUUUUGAAGAUAUUUGAUUUUGUUUCGAAUUGGUUGAACAAUUAAUUUUGAGUUGUUUAGUAUUCAAGAUUGCAGGGAAUGGUAAACUUGAUGUUUAAGGUUCAUCUUGAGUCCACAUGGCUAACACAUGGGCGUGUGGUUUGACUGUGUAUCCUCUAUAACUUUAAAAUUUCAAAACGGAAUACUCAGGUAUUUUCACAUGGGCAGAAACACUGGUGUGUGUCUCUGCCGUGUGAGACACACGGCCUAGCACAUAGGCAUGUGGCUUGGCCGUGCGUAUGGCUAGGCCGUGUGACUUAAGUCAAUAAAAACUUAAAUUUAGACAUGGGCUAGGACACGGCCGUGUGCCCCUAUUUUGAAUGUACACAUGGCCUGAGACAUGGGCAUGUUUCUUGACAGUGUGAGCCACACGGCCUAGUCACACGGGCGUGUGUCCCCUAUUUCUUUAAAAUUUUUUGAUGUUUUCGAAAAUUUUUUUUGAUUACUCGAUUUAGCCUCGAUUUGUUUCUAACAUAUAUUUUGGGCCUCGAGGGCUCAUAUAAGGGACAAUAUAAUUGAUUUAUGACAUGUAUGUUAAAUAAUAUGUAAUUUUUGUUUUUUUAUCUGAAAAGUUUGGUAAUGCUUUGUAACCCUGUUUCGGCGACGAAUAAGGGUUAGGGGUGUUACAGUUACCUUAAAAUAUGAUAGGUUAAUUAUGUUAUGCUUUUAUUGUGGUCGACUUGGACAUAAUGGCUCAUUCUACCAAUUGCGGAUGUUAAGAAGGGAAUAAUCUACAGAGUUAGGUUGGGAUUUGACCCUUCAUGCACAGUCUAAGAGAGCUGCUGCUAUGUAGAGUGUGUGGUUGAUUGAGGAUAGUGAUUGGGGUAGACUUGGAAAUCUUAGUCAACAAGUGAAUCUGAAUACUGGACCACAAGAGGGACAUGUUCGGUUGGAUCCCAUGUUAGGAAUUAAUUUAGAGGAGGAAAUGGUAUUAUGGGUCAGGGGGAAGGUCGGAUUGAUAUGGAACAUGACAAGGAGGAAUUUUCGAUUGGGACUGGCGAAGGUAAAAAGAGGUUUCGCAAGGAGGGUGAAACACUGAGCUUUAAUUGUGUAGAAGAUGCGUUAGUGGUUAGGGAGGAAAGACCAGUGGGGAAAACCCAUUUUGUAUUGGCGGUGCCAGGAGGCAAGCUGACUGGUCACAAUGAAAAUCUUGAGUUGGAAUGUCCGUGGUUUGGGGAGUCCACGGGCAGUUAGAAGGGUUCGACAUUUGCUAAAGUUGUAUAAUCCCCACUUAGUAUACUUUAUGGUGACUAAAUUAAAUAGUAAGAGGAUGGAGAAUAUUCAUAGGCGUUUUGGUGUUUGAAUGGUUUUGAUGUUUUGACGGAGCGCUCGAGAGGUGGCUUGUGUAUAACAUGAAAUGUAAUAAUACUAUCUCUUUUAGAAAUUAUUCAAUGAACCAUAUUGAUGUAGAUGUUCAUGAAGAUGAAAGUAAUUUACGAUGGAAUUUCACCGAGUUUUAUGAGGCUUCUUAUGUUAGGGGAUAGGAAGAUUCGUGGCUAAUUUUUAAGUCACCGAGGACUUCGAAAGACUCCUAUUGGAUGGUGUGUGGGGACUUCAAUGAAAUCUUGUAUUCAUUUGAGAAAGUAAGGGGUGUGCCUAGGGACGAGAGAAGGAUGGAAAUGCUUAGAGGAGUUUUGGAGGACUGUCACUUAGUGGAUUUGGGAUACUCUGGACCUUGGUAUGCAUGGAAGAGGGGAAUAUUCAGGAAAUGAAUAUUAGAGAACGUCGACUAAGGGGUAACUAAUGAAGGCUUGAUAAACUUAUUCCCUAAUUUUAUGGUACGUCAUUUACCUUACUUUUAUUCAAAUCAUUGUCCUCUCCGAUAGAGAAGGGCAUUCAUCACAGACCUAUGCAUUUUUGAUUUGAGGCUUUGUGGGUAAUGUAAGAGUCUUUUGAGGAUAAUGUUAGAAAAUUUGUGGUAAUGAUGAAUGAGAUAUUUUCAUUAAGUUAGAACAAAUUAGGAUUGAUUUGUGUCAAUGGGCCAAAUUGAUUCGGGGAAAAAGGGAUGGUAUUUGGCAGGACUUGACGAGUAAAUUAGGGGAUUUAUUGGAAAGAGAGAGAUGAUGCAACCCUCGAGGAGUUGAUUGAAACAAAAAUUAUCUUGAAUUUAGAAAUUGAUAAAGAUGAGAUGUUUUAAGAACAUUGAGCACACGUGAAUUGGCUUCGCUUGGGAGAUAAAAACACAACUUUCUUUUAUAAAUAUGCUUCACAGAGAAAAAAAAACCAAAUUAUGGGUUUACAAUAUGAGGAUGAGAGAGGAACGACCGAGGAGGCUGGGAUGGAGUGUAUCGCAAUGGACUACUUUAAGGAGCUUUUUACGACUAAUAGCAGUAUGGUUACGGAUCAUUUGUUAAUGGGGGUGAUAAAGUAAAUUUUUGAUGAGGAAAAUUUAAUGUUAACCAAAAGGUAUACUGAGGAUGAGAUUGUUAAUGCUUUAAAAAGUAUGAGACUGAUAAAAGCUUUUAGUGAUGAUAGUUUUUCGACAUUAUUUUUCAGCAUUUUUGGCAUAUUAUGGGCAGGGAGAUUGCUAAUUUCUGCUUGGAGGUACUGAAUAGUGGUAAGGUUCUUGAUUCCGUUAAUAUUACCAAUCUUUGUGCUUAUUCUGAAAACUCCCCAGCCAUUAAUUUUUAAGAAUUCUAGAUUCAUUAGUUUGUGUAAUGUAUUGUACAAAUUGGUCGCUAAGAUAAUAGCGAAUCGAUUUCAGCGAGUGCUAGAAGGGUGUAUUGAUGGUGCAUAGAGUAUUUUUGUGCCAGGAUGAUUGAUUACAGAUAAUAUUCUAGUGGAUUAUGAAAUUUUGCACUCAUUUAGAUAGAAACGAUUGGGUAAAAAGAGGUCUACGGCUUUAAAGGUUGACAUGAGUAAGGCUUAUGAUCUUGUUGAAUGGAACUUCCUUUGUGUGAUGAUGGAGCGAAUAGGUUUUGUAUUGUCUUAGAUUGACUUAAUCAUGAGGUGCAUCUCAUCUGUUUUAUAUUCAGUUAUUGUCAAUGGUAAGGUGGGAAAAGCUUUCAAACCAAGUAAGGGGGAAUCCUUUAAGCCCUUUUCUUUUCUUGAUUUAUAGUGAAGGGUUAUCAGUUUUGAUAAAUGAAGUGAUGAAUGGAGGCUUAAUUAAAGGUAUCAAGGUGAGUAGAGGGGGGACCUUUGAUUAUACACUUACUUUUUACCGACGAUUGUAUGUUGUUUGGAGAGGCUAAUGAAAGAGGGGUUCAUCCGCUGAAGAUUGUUUUACACGAGUACGAGAUCUAUUUUGUGUAGUGAAUAAAUUAUGAGAACUCAAUAGUUUUUUUUAAUUCCAAUGUGGGUGAAGAAGAUAGACAUUCAGUUUCUGGUGCCCUAGGAGUUAGAUACUCGAAUGACCCCGAGCAGUACUUGGGGUUACCUAAUAUGAUGGAGUGAAGUAAAAAGUUCACUUUUCAAACUUUAAAAGAUAGAUUUAAGCAAAGAUUAGACAGUUACAGUAUACUGUUCUUAUCCCUAUGGAGAAGGAAGUCUUUAUUAAAGCAGUUAUUCAAGUUAUUCCUACAUAUUCUAUGAUGUGUUUUUUGUUACCUAAAUAUUUUUGUACUGAACUAGAGGGUAUUAUUUCUAGGUUUUGGUGGCAAAAAGGGCAUGGUUGAAGAGGUAUCCCCUACUGCGAUUGGAAGAAGCUAUGUGAGUUGAAAGAGAUCGAAGGUUUAGGAUUUUUCAACUUAGCUAAAUUUAACUUAGCAUUAUUAGCGAAGCAGGGCUGGCAUCUUAUUCAAUACCCGAUUCGUUAUUAGCGCGAGUGUUAAAAGCAAAAUACUUUUCGCAAAGUGAUUUUUUGAGAGCUAGGUUGGGGAAUUUACAGUCGUAUACCUGAUAGAGUAUUUGGGCAACCCGAGGGCUUCUAGAAAUGGAUCUCUAUCGGAGAAUGGGCACAAGUGACAGAAUUAAUGUUAUGGAGGAUGGUUGGAUACCUGGUUCAAUUAAUUACAAAAUUAGUGGUUCUAUUUGUGAUAAUGGGAUAACUAUUGUUGCGAAAUUAAUUGAUAGCUCGCAUUGAAUUUGGAAAGAGGAUGUGAUUCGUGAUACCUUUUCAAAUAUGGACAUUGAUAGAAUUCUACGGAUUCCUUUGGCAACGGUGGAACACGCUGAUCUGCUGGUGUGGAAAGGGGAGUCUUCGGGUGAGUUUUCAGCCAGAAGUGCAUAUAGAUUACUAUUGGACUUUAGUAAUGACAUGGAUACACUUGAAGUACAGAAAGUAAUGAAAGGUUUCUAUAAAACUUUCAACUUGAAAAGUCUCUUGGGACUUCUUGCCUACUCUAGUUAACUUACAGUACAAACGAGUUUGAAGAAAUGCGAAGAGUUUUACUUGGAACAAUGCAUCCCUCACUACGUUGUCGUGUCGUUGGGUCUGGGAAGACACCGCGAACGUGAACCUGAUUGAGAGCCUAAGUCGUUUAGUGAUCGAAAGAGCAAACAGAGGAUACGGGUACUAGAAGUUUCUCCGGAAAACUACAACCGACAGCAAUAAGGACAUAUAUGGGGAGUGGUGGGUAGCAGUUCAAUUAAUU
Molecule: long non-coding RNA, 6056 nt
Filed under: Gossypium barbadense (sea-island cotton)
Lineage: Eukaryota; Viridiplantae; Streptophyta; Magnoliopsida; Malvales; Malvaceae
Description: long non-coding RNA (GBAR_LNC011698)
Source: RNAcentral